AUACGGAGGGUGCAAGCGUUAAUCGGAAUUACUGGGCGUAAAGCGUGCGUAGGUGGUUUGUUAAGUCAGAUGUGAAAGCCCCGGGCUCAACCUGGGAACUGCAUUUGAAACUGGCAUACUAAAGUAUAGGAGAGGAAAGUGGAAUUUCAGGUGUAGCGGUGAAAUGCGUAGAUAUCUGAAGGAACAUCAAUGGCGAAGGCAGCUUUCUGGACUAAUACUGACACUGAGGUACGAAAGCGUGGGUAGCAAACAGGAUUAGAAACCCUAGUAGUCC
RNAcentral lists this ribosomal RNA (274 nucleotides) under uncultured bacterium. Its description in RNAcentral is "partial 16S ribosomal RNA". It matches the Rfam family "Bacterial small subunit ribosomal RNA", at positions 523 to 796 of the family's 1533-position model. The record is from RNAcentral.